CUCCACCUCAUGUUUGUUUAGAAAGGACAGUUCGAGGUCAGGAAGGCGCACAGUUAUCCUCUCUCGGAGUACAUCUUACCUCAGGAAAAAGGCCUCCUUGGAGAAGUCUAUUUUUUCUUGAGAAAACUCCAAAGAGGAUCGAAAUGCCUCAACUGUUGACCUGCUGGCAUCGGAAAGCUUCUCAUUGAACUCUUGAUGCCUCUCCUUCUCCACCAGCAGGCCUACUUUAACUUUUGACCCCCACCCUUCUUGCCUCGACCACGGCCUUCACCACCUCGACCACCACC
This 287-nucleotide long non-coding RNA is filed under the name Elaeis guineensis (African oil palm). RNAcentral describes it as "long non-coding RNA (EGUI_LNC023151)". The record is from RNAcentral. Lineage: Eukaryota; Viridiplantae; Streptophyta; Magnoliopsida; Arecales; Arecaceae.